This 1372-nucleotide ribosomal RNA is filed under the name uncultured bacterium. RNAcentral describes it as "bacterial SSU rRNA". It matches the Rfam family "Bacterial small subunit ribosomal RNA", at positions 28 to 1381 of the family's 1533-position model. The record is from RNAcentral.
GAUGAACGCUGGCGGCGUGCCUAAUACAUGCAAGUCGAGCGAACGGACGAGAAGCUUGCUUCUCUGAUGUUAGCGGCGGACGGGUGAGUAACACGUGGAUAACCUACCUAUAAGACUGGGAUAACUUCGGGAAACCGGAGCUAAUACCGGAUAAUAUUUUGAACCGCAUGGUUCAAAAGUGAAAGACGGUCUUGCUGUCACUUAUAGAUGGAUCCGCGCUGCAUUAGCUAGUUGGUAAGGUAACGGCUUACCAAGGCAACGAUGCAUAGCCGACCUGAGAGGGUGAUCGGCCACACUGGAACUGAGACACGGUCCAGACUCCUACGGGAGGCAGCAGUAGGGAAUCUUCCGCAAUGGGCGAAAGCCUGACGGAGCAACGCCGCGUGAGUGAUGAAGGUCUUCGGAUCGUAAAACUCUGUUAUUAGGGAAGAACAUAUGUGUAAGUAACUGUGCACAUCUUGACGGUACCGAAUCAGAAAGCCACGGCUAACUACGUGCCAGCAGCCGCGGUAAUACGUAGGUGGCAAGCGUUAUCCGGAAUUAUUGGGCGUAAAGCGCGCGUAGGCGGUUUUUUAAGUCUGAUGUGAAAGCCCACGGCUCAACCGUGGAGGGUCAUUGGAAACUGGAAAACUUGAGUGCAGAAGAGGAAAGUGGAAUUCUAUGUGUAGCGGUGAAAUGCGCAGAGAUAUGGAGGAACACCAGUGGCGAAGGCGACUUUCUGGUCUGUAACUGACGCUGAUGUGCGAAAGCGUGGGGAUCAAACAGGAUUAGAUACUCUGGUAGUCCACGCCGUAAACGAUGAGUGCUAAGUGUUAGGGGGUUUCCGCCCCUUAGUGCUGCAGCUAACGCAUUAAGCACUCCGCCUGGGGAGUACGACCGCAAGGUUGAAACUCAAAGGAAUUGACGGGGACCCGCACAAGCGGUGGAGCAUGUGGUUUAAUUCGAAGCAACGCGAAGAACCUUACCAAAUCUUGACAUCCUUUGACAACUCUAGAGAUAGAGCUUUCCCCUUCGGGGGACAAAGUGACAGGUGGUGCAUGGUUGUCGUCAGCUCGUGUCGUGAGAUGUUGGGUUAAGUCCCGCAACGAGCGCAACCCUUAAGCUUAGUUGCCAUCAUUAAGUUGGGCACUCUAAGUUGACUGCCGGUGACAAACCGGAGGAAGGUGGGGAUGACGUCAAAUCAUCAUGCCCCUUAUGAUUUGGGCUACACACGUGCUACAAUGGACAAUACAAAGGGCAGCGAAACCGCGAGGUCAAGCAAAUCCCAUAAAGUUGUUCUCAGUUCGGAUUGUAGUCUGCAACUCGACUACAUGAAGCUGGAAUCGCUAGUAAUCGUAGAUCAGCAUGCUACGGUGAAUACGUUCCCGGGUCU